This 416-nucleotide ribosomal RNA is filed under the name Lacticaseibacillus rhamnosus. RNAcentral's name for it is "bacterial SSU rRNA". It matches the Rfam family "Bacterial small subunit ribosomal RNA", at positions 377 to 786 of the family's 1533-position model. Lineage: Bacteria; Bacillati; Bacillota; Bacilli; Lactobacillales; Lactobacillaceae. The record is from RNAcentral.
AGCAGUCUGAUGGAGCACGCCGCGUGAGUGAAGAAGGCUUUCGGGUCGUAAAACUCUGUUGUUGGAGAAGAAUGGUCGGCAGAGUAACUGUUGUCGGCGUGACGGUAUCCAACCAGAAAGCCACGGCUAACUACGUGCCAGCAGCCGCGGUAAUACGUAGGUGGCAAGCGUUAUCCGGAUUUAUUGGGCGUAAAGCGAGCGCAGGCGGUUUUUUAAGUCUGAUGUGAAAGCCCUCGGCUUAACCGAGGAAGUGCAUCGGAAACUGGGAAACUUGAGUGCAGAAGAGGACAGUGGAACUCCAUGUGUAGCGGUGAAAUGCGUAGAUAUAUGGAAGAACACCAGUGGCGAAGGCGGCUGUCUGGUCUGUAACUGACGCUGAGGCUCGAAAGCAUGGGUAGCGAACAGGAUUAGAUACC